RNAcentral lists this non-coding RNA (27 nucleotides) under Homo sapiens (human). The record is from RNAcentral. Lineage: Eukaryota; Metazoa; Chordata; Mammalia; Primates; Hominidae.
UGUCAUUAGAGGUUAUGGGCUCAGAGA